GAGCCCGUAGCUCAGCACGGAUAGAGCACCGACCUCCUAAGUCGGGGGUCGUGGGUUCAAAUCCCACCGGGCUCGCCA
Molecule: transfer RNA, 78 nt
Filed under: Promethearchaeota archaeon
Lineage: Archaea; Promethearchaeati; Promethearchaeota
Description: Candidatus Lokiarchaeota archaeon (marine sediment metagenome) tRNA-Arg
Rfam family: tRNA
About the family: Transfer RNA (tRNA) molecules are approximately 80 nucleotides in length.
Source: RNAcentral